AUUAAGAGCUUGCUCUUAUGAUUAGUGGCGCACGGGUGAGUAAUAUAUAGGUAAUGUACCUCUUAGUCUGGGAUAGCCACUGGAAACGGUGAUUAAUACCGGAUACUCCUUUUCAUUUCAAGAUAGAAGUACGGGUAAAGUUUUCGACUAAGAGAUCGGUCUAUAUUCCAUCAGCUAGUGGGAGGUAAUGGCUCACCAAGGCAAUGACGGAUAGCGGGUUUGAGAGGAUGAUCCGCCACACUGGUACUGAGACACGGACCAGACUCC
This 267-nucleotide ribosomal RNA is filed under the name uncultured bacterium. RNAcentral describes it as "partial 16S ribosomal RNA". It matches the Rfam family "Bacterial small subunit ribosomal RNA", at positions 71 to 339 of the family's 1533-position model. The record is from RNAcentral.